Molecule: ribosomal RNA, 574 nt
Filed under: uncultured bacterium
Lineage: Bacteria
Description: bacterial SSU rRNA
Rfam family: Bacterial small subunit ribosomal RNA
Source: RNAcentral
UAGAGUUUGAUCCUGGCUCAGAACGAACGCUGGCGGCAGGCUUAACACAUGCAAGUCGAGCGCCCCGCAAGGGGAGCGGCAGACGGGUGAGUAACGCGUGGGAAUCUACCCAUCUCUACGGAACAACUCCGGGAAACUGGAGCUAAUACCGUAUACGUCCUUUUGGAGAAAGAUUUAUCGGAGAUGGAUGAGCCCGCGUUGGAUUAGCUAGUUGGUGGGGUAAUGGCCUACCAAGGCGACGAUCCAUAGCUGGUCUGAGAGGAUGAUCAGCCACACUGGGACUGAGACACGGCCCAGACUCCUACGGGAGGCAGCAGUGGGGAAUAUUGGACAAUGGGCGCAAGCCUGAUCCAGCCAUGCCGCGUGAGUGAUGAAGGCCCUAGGGUUGUAAAGCUCUUUCAACGGUGAAGAUAAUGACGGUAACCGUAGAAGAAGCCCCGGCUAACUUCGUGCCAGCAGCCGCGGUAAUACGAAGGGGGCUAGCGUUGUUCGGAAUUACUGGGCGUAAAGCGCACGUAGGCGGAUUGUUAAGUUAGGGGUGAAAUCCCAGGGCUCAACCCUGGAACUGCCUUUA